This is a ribosomal RNA of Astyanax mexicanus (Mexican tetra), 122 nucleotides long. The record is from Ensembl. Lineage: Eukaryota; Metazoa; Chordata; Actinopteri; Characiformes; Acestrorhamphidae.
CUUAAGGUCACAUACAACCCUGAGAACGCCCGAUCUUCGUUGAUCCUCGGAGCUACAAGCAGGGUUCGGCCUGGUUAGUACUUGAUGGGAAACCAACCUGGGAAUACCAAGUGCUUGUAAGC